UCCCUGGUGGCUCAGAUGGUAAAGAAUCUGCCUGCAAAGCAGAAGACCUGGGUUCGAUCCCUGGGUAGGGAA
RNAcentral lists this transfer RNA (72 nucleotides) under Muntiacus reevesi (Reeves' muntjac). It matches the Rfam family "tRNA". From Rfam's summary of the family: Transfer RNA (tRNA) molecules are approximately 80 nucleotides in length. RNAcentral also lists the same sequence under 5 other names. Lineage: Eukaryota; Metazoa; Chordata; Mammalia; Artiodactyla; Cervidae. The record is from Rfam by way of RNAcentral.